This 370-nucleotide ribosomal RNA is filed under the name uncultured bacterium. RNAcentral describes it as "bacterial SSU rRNA". It matches the Rfam family "Bacterial small subunit ribosomal RNA", at positions 527 to 895 of the family's 1533-position model. The record is from RNAcentral.
AGAGGGGGCAAGCGUUAUUCGGAAUUAUUGGGCGUAAAGGGCGCGUAGGCGGCCUGGCAAGUGGAAGGUGAAAUCCCUCGGCUUAACCGAGGAACUGCCCUCCAAACUGCUUGGCUUGAGUCCGGGAGAGGUGAGUGGAAUUCCCAGUGUAGCGGUGAAAUGCGUAGAUAUUGGGAGGAACACCAGUGGCGAAGGCGGCUCACUGGACCGGAACUGACGCUGAGGCGCGAAAGCGUGGGGAGCAAACGGGAUUAGAUACCCCGGUAGUCCACGCCGUAAACGAUGAGUGCUUGGUGUAGCGGGUAUCGACCUCUGCUGUGCCGAAGUCAACACAUUAAGCACUCCGCCUGGGGAGUACGGUCGCUAGGCU